GUUGUUCUAGCUAAUUGAAGAAAUAAAAGUUCAGGUUGACUUUCCUCAAUUUUGUUAUCUCAUACCCUAGAGUCGAUGUAUAUGUUAUCGUUAUCCUGCAUUUCCCUCUUGUGAUUUAUCACAAGUUACCGCUGCCGAAUGAUAAUCGCGUUAUUUGCUUUCAUUUUUUUCAUACCACCAGCGAAUUACCGACGCCUGCAGAUAUUGAAGUAUCAUCAGCUGAUUAAUCGGAAAGUUUUUGUAGGCAACGAUUAAUAAACUAUUGGCACGUUAAAACAUGAUGCGACAAUCACGUGUCUGUAAAAUAAUCCGCAACAGGUGUUUGCUCUUUCUAUUAAACGUUAUACAAAUACGUGCGAAUACGUGUUCAUAUUUCAUCGUAACCCGGUGAAGAAAAAUGAAGAAAGCCGAGAGUUUUUAUUUCCAUCUGAAAUAAUCAUAUGUCAACACGCGCGAUUGGAAUCAAUCAGAUGCUACAGCUCUUCGAAUAUUAUUUUUAAUUUUGGCAAACGGGACUGUGUCGUGUCCAUGCAAUGUCCAUCGAUAUCGUCGAUUGCAUUUAAAAUUUGAUAUCACCUGUCGUUCUACUCUUUUUUUACAUUGUGUACUCUUUGCGUGUAUACUUUUUGCACAAUCAAUACGCGUGAUCGUAACAUAUAAGGAGAAUGCAUGGAAAAACAUCUGUUUGGACACAACGGUGUGUAUGUUGUCCGUGAAGUGCCGAUAGUUCUCUCGUUCGGUUCUUUAUACUUCCGUCGGAGAGAGGAUUUAAAUGAUGGAAUGCCAAUAUAGGUUAAAUACUUAUAUUUAACAAUUGAUGACUGAUGUGACUGAUGCUGUGUACUGUAUGAUUGCUCUAUGAGAUGAGUUAAUAUCACGACUGCGUACCUGUGCUCUUACAUAGGCGGUAGUAUCACUCCUUACAUAUCUCGGGCAAAAGUGUCUCCUUAGAGGCUCUUUCCUUUGUUUUGCUCAUGCCGAUCUUUUCCAUAUCCCAGUCCCUUCGUCAAUGCAGGAGAAAGUGCAAUUAGAAGGGACGACAGGGAAAUUGGAAAAGUCGGCAUGGUUAUUGACCGUCAAUAAAAUCCCUUGCUAGAUGUUGGAGUGAGUUAUGGCUGUCGUAACUAUCGUUUACCUGUCCGAAUAGCAUGUUCUGUUCCAGAACAACAUCUUGAUACAUUGCCUUAACAUAGAUAUUUAAAUGGUUGAUGUCAGACAUGUAACAAAAAGAAUGUCACGAACACCUUGAAUUUCAUGAGAUUUUAAAAGCAAAGCAUAUUUAUAGCUUCUUUCUUUAUAAUCUAUGAAAUAUAAAUAACUUAUAUUUAUACAUAAAUUGACACUGAUGAAUAUAAA
This is a long non-coding RNA of Frieseomelitta varia, 1356 nucleotides long. RefSeq lists it as uncharacterized. The record is from RefSeq and is a predicted model, not a curated record. The transcript is spliced from 2 exons. Lineage: Eukaryota; Metazoa; Arthropoda; Insecta; Hymenoptera; Apidae.